AAGACAAAAACAGAAUGAUGCCAGGCUCCUAAAAUAUUCUACCAAGUGUUGAACUCAUUAUUAAUGUGUGUGUGUGUUGUGUUCAAUAUUGAAAAAUAAUUACUUUGACUUACUUGAUCUUUUUAAAUACUUUCGUAUGAGGAAAUAUCAACAUUACGCAAAUGACCCCAAGCCAUAGUUAAUUAAUUAUGUCUCGUAUACACACUUGGACAACAUUCUUAGUACUCACUAUAAAAACUAUGAUUAAAAAUGGACUUAAAACCGAUGAAUAAAAAUCAAGCUCUAAUUUAUCUUAUGUCGACAGGUGCACAUGGCUCAUUAAUUUCACUGUUUGAUUGCCAAACAAGGGUUGUGAACAAAAACAUUAAGAUAACAGUACCAUUAUCAUCUGACCAUACUACUGUUUUUUUGCGGUUAUAACCCUUGAAGUCAGUUUCCCAACCAGAGGUACCCAUACUCCUAGGGGUACGCGAGCACAUGCAGGGGGUACGUUGAAACAGGCUUGGACUGGUCUCACGGAAUACAUGUACCAGCGUUACGUACUCAGGAUUAAAAAUAAUAAUAAAAAAAGAUACUAUAGUUUUGUAAACUUUCACGAGAGACGACUGUCUAACUACCUGAGUUUCCUCCUUACUGUCGUCAGAUGCCGUGUUCGGCUGUGAAAUUGUUGUCACCAAUAACGAGGGUAAGUUGACUUGUGUGCUUAUUUUUAUGAUUAUAGUCUACAAAAACCAUUCAACUUUGAAGUUGAGCCUCCUAACGUGAUUUUACAUCAUAUAAGCUAUAACCCUCUUAGUAUGUUUGAUUCCUUUUGGCGCAAUCAUUCAACACGCACACAGCGUCUGAGAGCUAAGAGGUGGCCCUUAUUCAAGUUUAGAAACCUGAUUUUAUCAAUUUGUUUUAUUCAUUCAAAUUUGGGAGGCUUGUUAACAUUACUCUUUUCUGCGGUGUGUCGAAUUUCUGUGCCAUUUUUUUGGGCCUGCUUCGUGUCACUUUAAAGUGUGUGUGUGUGGAGGGGGGGGCGAGAGAGAGAUGGCUACUGAUGCAAACACUCGCUUGCUUUCACAGUAGUGGGCCAGCAACCUUGUCAGGAGUUUACCAGAGCAACAAGUGGGCACAACAUACAGUAUAGUAGCUACAUGGAGCACAGCCAGCACGGCCACUGGCUGAAUAGCCGUGUUGAUGUCCCAAAAGCGGCUUGUUUAAAAGCAAAGGAAGGGACGGUAACUCUUGAUCAUAUUCACUCGAGGAUUUUUUUCCAUUUUGAAUAACAUUUACAAAGAAAACUGAGCUGUCAGAGCCAUUCGGAUUGCUGGUGACUUUGGCUAUGCGGGAGGUAGCCGAAGAGCCCACAGCUAAAUUAAUGUAUUGGCUACACGGGCAUAGUUGGAGCCAGGCUGUGGUGACAAAGAUUUUUCCUUCGACAAUCGCAUUUUCAACCAGACACCGGCUGCCAUGGCAAUGGGAAAUGUGGCGCAUACAGGACACAGCCCCAGAGUCCACAGUUCCAGCGGCAUUAACCUUGGUGAGACGCUGCAGGAGGACCUGGGAGCGAGCCCGCCAGAUGCUGCUGCGCCAGGGACGGUCCUACAAAGCCGCUGCUGACCGUUGGAGGACUACAAAGUGGGUCAGCGAGUUUGGCUCUCGACCAAACAUAUUCCACUCCGGGUGGAGUCCAAGAAGCUCGCUCCCAGGUUCGUUGGGCCCUUCCCCAUCACAAAGAUCAUCAACCCUGUCACCGUGAAGCUGAGGCUCCCAAGGUCGAUGCGGGUCCACCCUGCUUUUCAUGUCAGCCUACUCAAGCCAGCCCGGGAGUCCCCUCUGGAUACUGUUGCCUUUCUUGGAUUGUCUGCCUGUGUACCGACC
Molecule: long non-coding RNA, 1866 nt
Organism: Phyllopteryx taeniolatus (common seadragon)
Lineage: Eukaryota; Metazoa; Chordata; Actinopteri; Syngnathiformes; Syngnathidae
Exons: 3
Source: RefSeq, a predicted model, not a curated record